AUUGUAAUUUAGAAAAAUUACACACAAAUACCUCGCGUCUUUCAGGCGAUCGGUCUUUACUUUGAUCACGAUAAACAUCCUCACAUGAGCGCUUUAGUUGACUGAUUAAAAGCACAAACAAAUUGAUCCAGAACAAGUCCAGUAGGGAGUGUAAAUCUUUAAUAACGCCAUUGUGUUAAACAAUGAAUGAUAGCCAAAUAUUACUAGUAAACAU
Paramuricea clavata is the source of this 214-nucleotide non-coding RNA. NCBI's taxonomy places the organism in Eukaryota, Metazoa, Cnidaria, Anthozoa, Malacalcyonacea, Plexauridae. The record is from the annotation of a GenBank genome assembly.